Psammomys obesus (fat sand rat) is the source of this 109-nucleotide small nuclear RNA. The record is from RefSeq and is a predicted model, not a curated record. Lineage: Eukaryota; Metazoa; Chordata; Mammalia; Rodentia; Muridae.
GUGCUCACUUCAACAGCACAUAUGUCCUAAAAUUGGAACGAUACAGAGAAGAUUAGCAUGGCCCCUGCACAAGGAUGACAAACAAAUUCAUGAGGCGUUCCAUAUUUUU